UACGGGGGGGGGCAAGCGUUGUUCGGAAUUACUGGGCGUAAAGGGCUCGUAGGUGGCCAACUAAGUCAGACGUGAAAUCCCUCGGCUUAACCGGGGAACUGCGCCUGAUACUGGAUGGCUGGAGUAUGGGAGAGGAAUGCGGAAUUCCAGGUGUAGCGGUGAAAUGCGUAGAUAUCUGGAGGAACACCGGUGGCGAAGGCGGCAUUCUGGUCUGUAACUGACGCUGAGGCGCGAAAAGCGUGGGGGAGCAAACAGG
This 256-nucleotide ribosomal RNA is filed under the name uncultured bacterium. Its description in RNAcentral is "partial 16S ribosomal RNA". It matches the Rfam family "Bacterial small subunit ribosomal RNA", at positions 524 to 776 of the family's 1533-position model. The record is from RNAcentral.